RNAcentral lists this ribosomal RNA (1536 nucleotides) under Triticum aestivum (bread wheat). Its description in RNAcentral is "partial small subunit ribosomal RNA". The record is from RNAcentral. Lineage: Eukaryota; Viridiplantae; Streptophyta; Magnoliopsida; Poales; Poaceae.
AUGAUUGAUGAUCUCAUAGAAAAGAUUGUGAAGGAUAAGAGCACUGAUGAUGACUUUAUUCGGAUGACAUUUCUAGUUCUCUUAGGAACUAUAAUUGCACCGGUGUCUCAUGAAUACGUUCCGAAAAAGUACUAUGCCUUAGUGAAAAAUAUUAAGUUGAUAAGGAAGUUCAACUGGAAUGCAUUCACUUCACGAUUCUGUUUAUCGGAGAUUGGUAAGCUUCUGCAGGACGGCCAUGUUAGGCAGUGGCCCCAGGGGAACCUCGCCCUUUUGCAAUACCUAUACUGGGAGAAGGUGCAACCAAUCACCGGUCCAAAAUAUGAUCCGUUGGCAUUGUUGAGCCCGCUGAUGAGGAACUGGACGGAAGAUAUGGCUGUGAGAAGAGACAAAUACGACUACGAAUAUGGUCGUGGUGUUGGGAUGAUUGAUGACAACAUUACAGAGGAGUAUAGGUUGAAAAAAAUUGCGGAAGAAGAAGCUCAAAAAACCAAGAAAGCUAGUAGCAAAAAAUCUAACAUUACUGGAACGAGGAAAGAGGGCAGUACCUCGGAGGCUUCGAGCCAGAAGCCUACUAUGGACCGGAUUUUGAGUGAGAUGAAUGAGCUUCGGAAGGAAAUGCUUCGUUUGCCAGAGUUAUGCGCACAGAGGAUGAUUGAGAAACUGAACAAAACCGGCGUCUCCUACAAACCCAGUAACCUGGAAGAGGACGAAGAGAAUCUGUACGGAGGCAUUAAUGAGUCUUCAAACGAUGUUGGACGUCCGCAAAAAGAGUUUGUAUAUCAAAAAGAUGAUUCAGACCGGUUCCGCACACCUUCCAAAAUGAAUUUGCAAAAGGAUGAUAACGGCGUUGAUGUAACUUCUCGUGAAAACACACCUUUUUACUGCACAUCUGAGUACUGGGAUAGUUUCAAGGGUGAUAUGGAUGAUCCUGUCCAAGUACCAGAAGUAUCAGAUGAAAAAGCUGCCACAUCUUUAGAGACGGACGAAAUCGCAUCGCAUGCGUCAGUUGGUUCUCAAGGAGUACAAGAGGAAGUGGAGGAGGUAAUUGAUGCAUACUCAUCAUUUUUGGUCGACAAAGUUAAUGAUGAUCGUUUCAUGUUAACAACUUGGAGGAUACAUUGGUUGCUUCACGUUAGACCCGGAAAGAAGACCGCCGGUAAUGAUUAUGAAGCAGAGUCGCAUAGUAAUGGACCCGUGAACAGAUGUGAGGACGAGUAUUUCAAAAAAUCAAAGAGAAAACAACUAGCAGAAGAUAUCCAAGAAGCAAAUGCAACCGAAAUUGUGAAUUAUCCGGAUGUUUCCAAGUGGCCUAUUCAAACGUAUGACAUGCCAAAACAACAUGAUGGGAAUUCGUGUGGACUAUUUCUCCUUCGAUGCUUUCAAAAUUGGGAUGGUGACAAAUGGACAGGCUUAUUUUCACAGACCUCAAUUGAUGAUUCAAGAGAGUUAAUGAUUGCACAACUUAUAUUUUCGGAAAGAAACAAGCUUGAUGAAGUGAAAAACAAAGUUAUUCGGAUAUCAAAGAAGAAGAAAUAG